CGAAAAAUCCCUAGGACCCUAGAGCUGAAAGAAAAAAGCUGCCAGCAGCUUAAAAAAAAACGCACAGAAGAAGCAGCUGAAAAAAUUUGGCCAUCCUCUCGCUGGCUUCUCUUCCUCGUAACAACAGCUCCAAACAACUUCCAAAAGUCCUGUUUUCCUCCAUGAAUAUGCCUUGAAAACUCCAUAAAAACCAACAAAGAGAGCUCCAUUUUCCCACUUAAACAGCCACCCAAAAACAGCUGAAACAACCGUGAACAACCACCAAGACGAACAGCUCCUUAACCUCAAAAAUAGCCCCAAUUUCUUCCAACAAAACACGCUCAAAACCAGCCGUUAAAACACCAUUUUCAAUCGAGUUUGAGGUCGCUGCCGAGGUCGCAUUCGAGCUCUGUUCGAGUUCCCAACGUCGCCAAGAUUCUCUGGUCGAAGGCGAGUUUCCGUUGGAUAACUCCGUCCGCUGGUCCGAUAGGCAGUAGCUUUUUUCACUUUUGGGGGAGAAGCAUCUUGAGCCAGGUUUUAUUCAGGUGGUUGGUUUUGUUGGUACGCGGUGAUGAAUGCGCAACCUUGCACGUGGCCACAAUAUUAUACACAAAAUCGAGUUCUACCUCCCAGAAAUGCCCUUCCUUACCAAGCUCCAUACAAUCCCCAAUCAAAUGUUUCUCAGUACAAUCCUCGCCCAAGAGAACCUUUCAAAAGGAAUCAGUUCACCCGCUCCAUACAAUUCAGCCGCUACAUUUUUGGUUGGCAGCAAAUGGUACCCUUUGAACCUUUAAAUGAUCAGAGAAGCUGGGAGCCUGUAUCUGUUUAUUAUAAUGAAACUUAGUUUGCUUAAAUGUUUGUUUAAAUCUCAUAUAGAUGUUUUAUGUAAUAUGAUACUUGAUCACGCCCAACUCUAGUCCUAAAAAGGA
Molecule: long non-coding RNA, 908 nt
Organism: Nicotiana attenuata
Lineage: Eukaryota; Viridiplantae; Streptophyta; Magnoliopsida; Solanales; Solanaceae
Exons: 3
Source: RefSeq, a predicted model, not a curated record